RNAcentral lists this ribosomal RNA (617 nucleotides) under Phyllymenia phuquocensis. Its description in RNAcentral is "Grateloupia phuquocensis eukaryotic LSU rRNA". It matches the Rfam family "Eukaryotic large subunit ribosomal RNA", at positions 1284 to 1899 of the family's 3401-position model. Lineage: Eukaryota; Rhodophyta; Florideophyceae; Halymeniales; Halymeniaceae. The record is from RNAcentral.
AACAACUCACCUGCCGAAUGAAUCAGCCCUGAAAAUGGAUGGCGCUUAAGCGGGCGACCGACACCAUGCCGUCUGUAUAAGAGUAAUUUUACAGAUGAGUAGGAGGACGUGGCGGUUGUGUCGAAGCAUGCGUGCGAACGCGUGUGGAACGGCCGCUAGUGCAGAUCUUGGUGGUAGUAGCAAAUAUUCAAGCGAGAUCCUUGAAGGGCGAAGCGGGGAAGGGUUCCACGCAAACAUUGAUUGGGCGUGGGUGAGUCGUUCCUAAGCCGAGUGGCAAUUGCUAAGUAGCGGCGAAAGGGAAGCAGGUUGACAUUCCUGCACACGGAUGUGGAGGCGGUGACGCUUUAAUGAGGGCGAAGACGCUGGCGAUGGCGCUGGGCAGAGAUUUCUUUUCUGUUUAACCGCUGAAGCGCGCGGUGUGGAAUCCGCUUGUCGGGAGAAACACGCUCGUUCGGGCAGAGCGCCGGGGCUAUUCCGGCGUCCAGCUCGCCAUCGACGGCCCUUGAAAAUUUGCCUGCUGGAAUAGUUUUUUUAUAUUCUAUAAAGAUCCACGCCGUGGCGUACCGAUAACCGCAUCAGGUCCCCAAGGUGAACAGCCUCUGCUCUAUAUGAAUAAU